RNAcentral lists this ribosomal RNA (470 nucleotides) under uncultured Enterobacteriaceae bacterium. RNAcentral's name for it is "bacterial SSU rRNA". It matches the Rfam family "Bacterial small subunit ribosomal RNA", at positions 335 to 797 of the family's 1533-position model. Lineage: Bacteria; Pseudomonadati; Pseudomonadota; Gammaproteobacteria; Enterobacterales; Enterobacteriaceae. The record is from RNAcentral.
UCGCCUACGGGGGGCUGCAGUGGGGAAUAUUGCACAAUGGGCGCAAGCCUGAUGCAGCCAUGCCGCGUGUAUGAAGAAGGCCUUCGGGUUGUAAAGUACUUUCAGCGGGGAGGAAGGUGUUGAGGUUAAUAACCUCAGCAAUUGACGUUACCCGCAGAAGAAGCACCGGCUAACUCCGUGCCAGCAGCCGCGGUAAUACGGAGGGUGCAAGCGUUAAUCGGAAUUACUGGGCGUAAAGCGCACGCAGGCGGUGUGUGAAGUCGGAGGUGAAAUACCCGGGCUCAACCUGGGAACUGCAUGCGAAACUGGCAGGCUAGAGUCUGGUAGAGGGGGGUAGAAUUCCAGGUGUAGCGGUGAAAUGCGUAGAGAUCUGGAGGAAUACCGGUGGCGAAGGCGGCCCCCUGGACAAAGACUGACGCUCAGGUGCGAAAGCGUGGGGAGCAAACAGGAUUAGAUACCCUUGUAGUCGA